GAGAGCUGCCAUCUGAAAUCAGGACUGUAGAACUCUAAAGCCCAAAGCCUUAACCACUUGACUCUGCUGGUGUGAACCAGCUACCCGGGUUUACGGAGACCUGCUUGACCUCUCCAGGCCUUGCCGCCACCUCUUACAGAACGGAUUGUCCUUAUGCCAGUACCUUACUGACUGAUUACUGUACCUUUGUGGCAGAAUUUUAAAUCAGGCUCAAGUUCCCAAAGCAAAGUGCGCAGGACUGGUUCCUCGUCACUCAGAGGGAGAAUGUGUCCGUACCUCUCUCCCAGUUCGUCCUGGUUGCCUGCGGUCCUUGGCAUUCUUCGGCUCAUCGCUGCAUUAUUCCAAUUUCUGCUUAUUUUGGCACACUGAUAAUUUCCUCUCUGUGAGUUUCUGCGUUCAAAUAUUCCCCUUCCUGUAAGGACACUGAUCACUGGAUUUAGGGCUCACCCUAAUGUCAGGUGGCCUCAUUUGAACUCGAUUACAUCUGCAAAGAUCCUAUUUCCAAAUAAGAUCACAUUCACAGGUACAGAACAUAUAUUUUUAGGAGACACAAUCAAACCCAUCACACUUUGUGUCCUACAA
Molecule: long non-coding RNA, 582 nt
Organism: Molossus molossus (Pallas's mastiff bat)
Lineage: Eukaryota; Metazoa; Chordata; Mammalia; Chiroptera; Molossidae
Exons: 3
Source: RefSeq, a predicted model, not a curated record